CCCUUUGGGGUGUGACUGCGUACCUUUUGUAUAAUGGGUCAGCGACUUAUAUUCUGUAGCAAGGUUAACCGUAUAGGGGAGCCGUAGGGAAACCGAGUCUUAACCGGGCGUUAAGUUGCAGGGUAUAGACCCGAAACCCGGUGAUCUAGCCAUGGGCAGGUUGAAGGUUGGGUAACACUAACUGGAGGACCGAACCGACUAAUGUUGAAAAAUUAGCGGAUGACCUGUGGCUGGGGGUGAAAGGCCAAUCAAACCGGGAGAUAGCUGGUUCUCCCCGAAAGCUAUUUAGGUAGCGCCUCGUGAAUUCAUCUCCGGGGGUAGAGCACUGUUUCGGCUAGGGGGCCAUCCCGGCUUACCAACCCGAUGCAAACUGCGAAUACCGGAGAAUGUUAUCACGGGAGACACACGGCGGGUGCUAACGUCCGUCGUGAAGAGGGAAACAACCCAGACCGCCAGCUAAGGUCCCAAAGUCAUGGUUAAGUGGGAAACGAUGUGGGAAGGCCCAGACAGCCAGGAUGUUGGCUUAGAAGCAGCCAUCAUUUAAAGAAAGCGUAAUAGCUCACUGGUCGAGUCGGCCUGCGCGGAAGAUGUAACGGGGCUAAACCAUGCACCGAAGCUGCGGCAGCGACACUGUGUGUUGUUGGGUAGGGGAGCGUUCUGUAAGCCUGUGAAGGUGU
RNAcentral lists this ribosomal RNA (677 nucleotides) under Salmonella enterica subsp. enterica serovar Heidelberg. RNAcentral's name for it is "partial 23S ribosomal RNA". It matches the Rfam family "Bacterial large subunit ribosomal RNA", at positions 582 to 1259 of the family's 2925-position model. The record is from RNAcentral. Lineage: Bacteria; Pseudomonadati; Pseudomonadota; Gammaproteobacteria; Enterobacterales; Enterobacteriaceae.